This 78-nucleotide microRNA precursor is filed under the name Myotis brandtii (Brandt's bat). Its description in RNAcentral is "mir-95 microRNA precursor family". It matches the Rfam family "mir-95 microRNA precursor family". The record is from Rfam by way of RNAcentral. Lineage: Eukaryota; Metazoa; Chordata; Mammalia; Chiroptera; Vespertilionidae.
CACAUUGUAGGCCUCAUUAAAUAUUUGUUGUAUGAAAAAUGAAUCAUCAACAGACAUUAAUUGGGCACUUGCUCUAUG